AAUCAACGCUGGCGGCGUGCCUCAGACAUGCAAGUCGAACGAUUAAAGCUCUCUUCGGAGAGUGCAUAGAGUGGCGCACGGGUGAGUAACACGUAAGUAAUCUACCUUCGAGUGGGGAAUAACGUCCGGAAACGGACGCUAAUACCGCAUAAUGCAGCGGCAUCGCAAGAUGACAGUUGUUAAAGGAGCAAUUCGCUUGAAGAGGAGCUUGCGGCAGAUUAGCUAGUUGGUAAGGUAAUGGCUUACCAAGGCUACGAUCUGUAACCGGUCUAAGAGGACGGUCGGUCACACUGACACUGAAUAACGGGUCAGACUCCUACGGGAGGCAGCAGUCGGGAAUUUUGGGCAAUGGGCGAAAGCCUGACCCAGCAACGCCGCGUGAAGGAUGAAGUAUUUUCGGUAUAGUAAACUUCGAAAGAAAUGGGAAGAAUCAAUGACGGUACCAUUUAUAAGGUCCGGCUAACUACGUGCCAGCCGCCGCGGUAAU
Molecule: ribosomal RNA, 487 nt
Filed under: uncultured bacterium
Lineage: Bacteria
Description: bacterial SSU rRNA
Rfam family: Bacterial small subunit ribosomal RNA
Source: RNAcentral